AUACGGAGGAUCCGAGCGUUAUCCGGAUUUAUUGGGUUUAAAGGGUGCGCAGGCGGCCAUUUAAGUCAGCGGUUAAAUCGUGGGGCUCAACCCCAUUCUGCCGUUGAUACUGGGUGGCUUGAUUGCGGUCGAGGUUGGCGGAAUUCGUUGUGUAGCGGUGAAAUGCAUAGAUAUGACGAAGAACACCGAUUGCGUAGGCAGCUGACCAGACCGCAAAUGACGCUCAUGCACGAAAGUGCGGGGAUCGAACAGGAUUAGAUACCCUGGUAGUCCGCACAGUAAACGAUGAAUACUUGUUUUCGGCGAUAUAAUGUCGGAGGCAAAGCGAAAGCGAUAAGUAGUCCACCUGGGGAGUACGCCGGCAACGGUGAAACUUAAAGGAAUUGACGGGG
Molecule: ribosomal RNA, 392 nt
Filed under: uncultured bacterium
Lineage: Bacteria
Description: partial 16S ribosomal RNA
Rfam family: Bacterial small subunit ribosomal RNA
Source: RNAcentral